AUUAGGCAUGCAAGUCNNAGCGAGNAAGUCGUAGUUUGAAGCUUCGGCCGAUGACUACGAUGGACAGCGGCGAAAGGGAGAGUAACGCGUGGAUUAUCUACCCUCAGGACCGGGAUAGCUGCGGGAAACUGCAGGUAAUACCGGAUAACAUCUCCGGAUCAAAUGGUGUGAUUCCGCCUGAGGAUGAGUCCGCGUCCUAUUAGCUUGUUGGUGGGGUAACGGCCUACCAAGGCAAUGAUGGGUACCGGGUGUGAGAGCAUGGCCCGGCUCACUGGGACUGAGACACUGCCCAGACACCUACGGGUGGCUGCAGUCGAGAAUCUUCCGCAAUGGACGAAAGUCUGACGGAGCGACGCCGCGUGUGGGAUGAAGGCCUUCGGGUUGUAAACCGCUGUCAGUAGGGAGGAAAUCCAUGGGGGUUAUCCCCCAUGGUUGACCUAUCUUCAGAGGAAGGACGGGCUAAGUUCGUGCCAGCAGCCGCGGUAAGACGAACCGUCCAAACGUUAUUCGGAAUCACUGGGCUUAAAGGGUGCGUAGGCGGCCUGGCAAGUUGGGUGUGAAAUCCCUCGGCUCAACCGAGGAAUUGCGCUCAAAACUGCUUGGCUAGAGGGAGAUAGAGGUGAGCGGAACUUAUGGUGGAGCGGUGAAAUGCGUUGAUAUCAUAAGGAACACCUGUGGCGAAAGCGGCUCACUGGAUCUCUUCUGACGCUGAGGCACGAAAGCUAGGGUAGCGAACAGGAUUAGAUACC
Molecule: ribosomal RNA, 749 nt
Filed under: uncultured Planctomycetota bacterium
Lineage: Bacteria; Pseudomonadati; Planctomycetota
Description: bacterial SSU rRNA
Rfam family: Bacterial small subunit ribosomal RNA
Source: RNAcentral